UACGUAGGGUGCGAGCGUUAAUCGGAAUUACUGGGCGUAAAGCGUGCGCAGGCGGUUUUGUAAGACAGGCGUGAAAUCCCCGGGCUCAACCUGGGAACUGCGCUUGUGACUGCAAGGCUAGAGUACGGCAGAGGGGGGUGGAAUUCCACGUGUAGCAGUGAAAUGCGUAGAGAUGUGGAGGAACACCAAUGGCGAAGGCAGCCCCUGGGUCGAUACUGACGCUCAUGUCGAAACGAACG
This 239-nucleotide ribosomal RNA is filed under the name uncultured bacterium. RNAcentral's name for it is "partial 16S ribosomal RNA". It matches the Rfam family "Bacterial small subunit ribosomal RNA", at positions 524 to 764 of the family's 1533-position model. The record is from RNAcentral.